UACGUAGGAGGCGAGCGUUGUCCGGAGUUACUGGGCGUAAAGGGUGCGUAGGCGGUCGGGUAAGUCUGAUGUGAAAUCUCACAGCUUAACUGUGAAACUGCAUUGGAUACUAUCCGGCUAGAGGAAUGGAGGGGAGACUGGAAUACUUGGUGUAGCAGUGAAAUGCGUAGAUAUCAAGUGGAACACCAGUGGCGAAGGCGAGUCUCUGGACAGCAACUGACGCUGAGGCACGAAGGCCAGGGGAGCAAACGGG
This 253-nucleotide ribosomal RNA is filed under the name uncultured bacterium. RNAcentral describes it as "partial 16S ribosomal RNA". It matches the Rfam family "Bacterial small subunit ribosomal RNA", at positions 524 to 776 of the family's 1533-position model. The record is from RNAcentral.